UGGGGAAUUUUGGACAAUGGACGAAAGCCUGAUCCAGCAAUGCCGCGUGUGUGAAGAAGGCCUUCGGGUUGUAAAGCACUUUUGUCCGGAAAGAAAUCCUUGGCUCUAAUACAGUCGGGGGAUGACGGUACCGGAAGAAUAAGCACCGGCUAACUACGUGCCAGCAGCCGCGGUAAUACGUAGGGUGCAAGCGUUAAUCGGAAUUACUGGGCGUAAAGCGUGCGCAGGCGGUUUGCUAAGACCGAUGUGAAAUCCCCGGGCUCAACCUGGGAACUGCAUUGGUGACUGGCAGGCUAGAGUAUGGCAGAGGGGGGUAGAAUUCCACGUGUAGCAGUGAAAUGCGUAGAGAUGUGGAGGAAUACCGAUGGCGAAGGCAGCCCCCUGGGCCAAUACUGACGCUCAUGCACGAAAGCGUGGGGAGCAAACAGGAUUAGAUACCCUGGUAGUCCACGCCCUAAACGAUGUCAACUAGUUGUUGGGGAUUCAUUUCCUUAGUAACGUAGCUAACGCGUGAAGUUGACCGCCUGGGGAGUACGGUCGCAAGAUUAAAACUCAAAUGAAUUGACGGGGUCAUAGCUGUUUCCU
RNAcentral lists this ribosomal RNA (585 nucleotides) under uncultured bacterium. RNAcentral describes it as "partial 16S ribosomal RNA". It matches the Rfam family "Bacterial small subunit ribosomal RNA", at positions 355 to 1375 of the family's 1533-position model. The record is from RNAcentral.